UACGUAGGGUCCGAGCGUUGUCCGGAAUUAUUGGGCGUAAAGGGCUCGUAGGCGGUUCGUCACGUCGGGAGUGAAAACUCGGAGCUUAACUCCGAGCCUGCUUCCGAUACGGGCAGACUAGAGGUAGGCAGGGGAGAGCGGAACUCCUGGUGUAGCGGUGGAAUGCGCAGAUAUCAGGAAGAACACCGGUGGCGAAGGCGGCUCUCUGGGCCUGUCCUGACGCUGAGGCGCGAAAGCUAGGGGAGCGAACAGG
Molecule: ribosomal RNA, 253 nt
Filed under: uncultured bacterium
Lineage: Bacteria
Description: partial 16S ribosomal RNA
Rfam family: Bacterial small subunit ribosomal RNA
Source: RNAcentral